CCUACGGGAGGCUGCAGUCGAGAAUCAUUCACAAUGGGGGAAACCCUGAUGGUGCGACGCCGCGUGGGGGAAUGAAGGUCUUCGGAUUGUAAACCCCUGUCAUGUGGGAGCAAAUUAAAAAGAUAGUACCACAAGAGGAAGAGACGGCUAACUCUGUGCCAGAAGCCGCGGUAAUACAGAGGUCUCAAGCGUUGUUCGGAAUCACUGGGCGUAAAGCGUGCGUAGGCUGUUUCGUAAGUCGUGUGUGAAAGGCGCGGGCCAAACCCGCGGACUGCACAUGAUACUGGGAGACUAGAGUAAUGGAGGGGGAAGCGGAAUUCUCGGUGUAGCAGUGAAAUGCGUAGAUAUCGAGAGGAACACUCGUGGCGAAGGCGGGUUCCUGGACAUUAACUGACGCUGAGGCACGAAGGCCAGGGGAGCGAAAGGGAUUAGAUACCCGGGUAGUC
RNAcentral lists this ribosomal RNA (446 nucleotides) under uncultured bacterium. RNAcentral's name for it is "partial 16S ribosomal RNA". It matches the Rfam family "Bacterial small subunit ribosomal RNA", at positions 338 to 795 of the family's 1533-position model. The record is from RNAcentral.